This is a long non-coding RNA of Homalodisca vitripennis (glassy-winged sharpshooter), 239 nucleotides long. RefSeq lists it as uncharacterized. NCBI's taxonomy places the organism in Eukaryota, Metazoa, Arthropoda, Insecta, Hemiptera, Cicadellidae. The record is from RefSeq and is a predicted model, not a curated record. The transcript is spliced from 2 exons.
UUCUUAUUACUGACUGCUUGGACAUGUAAUCGCUAUGAACGGAGGUCUGCUUCACUGUCAUCUGCCAUCAUGGUCAUCUCUUACACUGGAGUUCUCCACACUUCCAUGGUCCAUGCUGGGGGAGGUCUUUCCUACAGAUAUGUGUGGGUCAAUAUUAAUGAUCUAUUAAUUUGAACAAAUAUCAUACUGUAGUUGAAACCUGUAAAAGUAAAAUAAAAAAGUACCUUUCAUAUAUUUUC